RNAcentral lists this ribosomal RNA (491 nucleotides) under uncultured bacterium. Its description in RNAcentral is "partial 16S ribosomal RNA". It matches the Rfam family "Bacterial small subunit ribosomal RNA", at positions 29 to 507 of the family's 1533-position model. The record is from RNAcentral.
AGUGAACGCUGGCGGUAGACCUAACACAUGCGAGUCGAACGGCAGCACAGUAAGAGCUUGCUCUUACGGGUGGCGAGUGGCGGACGGGUGAGGAAUACAUCGGAAUCUACUUUUUCGUGGGGGAUAACGUAGGGAAACUUACGCUAAUACAGCAUACGACCUACGGGUGAAAGCAGGGGAUCUUCGGACCUUGCGCGAUUGAAUGAGCCGAUGUCGGAUUAGCUAGUUGGCGGGGUAAAGGCCCACCAAGGCGACGAUCCGUAGCCGGGCUGAGAGGAUGAUCAGCCACACAGGAACUGAGACACGGUCCAGACUCCUACGGGAGGCAGCAGUGGGAAUAUUGGACAAUGGGCGCAAGCCUGAUCCAGCCAUACCGCGUGUGUGAAGAAGGCCUUCGGGUUGUAAAGCCCUUUUGUUGGGAAAGAAAAGCAGCAGGUUAAUACCCCGCUGUUCUGACGGUACCCAAAGAAUAAGCACCGGCUAACUUCGUG